AUCACAAAUUUUGCAGAAUUUGCAGCCAGUAUUAAUGAAGAAGCUCUAGAAAAGAUGAACUAUCUCCAUGCAGCAAUUACUGAAACUCUUAGACUGUAUCCAUCUGUGCCUGUGGUAAGAAGAAAUUAUGUGCACUUGCAAUUCCUGGCUGCAAGAAACAACACAAAUAAAUUUGUGAUUAUUUACUAAUUCUUCAAGACUGAAACUACGAUUCUUGAGCAAUAAAUGCCUUUAAUUCUCUCAGUAUACUUGAUGUUUCAACAUGCUUGUAUAGAGUUAAUAAUGCUUCCUAAAUAAUUGUAUAAUUUUUUUGUUUCUGUAUCUCAAAAUUCUUUGCUUUGCAGGAUGCGAAGGUUUGCUUUUCUGAUGACACUCUACCAGAUGGCUUUAAUGUGAGAAAGGGAGAUAUGGUGGCUUACCAACCCUAUGCAAUGGGGAGGAUGAAGUUCAUAUGGGGCGAUGAUGCUGAGGAAUACAAACCUGAAAGAUGGCUCAAUGAGGAUGGCGUGUUUCAGCAAGAAAGCCCUUUCAAGUUUACAGCUUUCCAGGUUAGUGGAAAUAAAGAUCUGUCUAAUUCACUUGAUUAACAUUCAAAUAAAUUUUCUGCUGCCUUUGCUGUGCAAAU
Molecule: long non-coding RNA, 625 nt
Filed under: Populus tremula
Lineage: Eukaryota; Viridiplantae; Streptophyta; Magnoliopsida; Malpighiales; Salicaceae
Description: long non-coding RNA (PTRE_LNC000926)
Source: RNAcentral